CCUACGGGAGGCAGCAGUGAGGAAUAUUGGUCAAUGGACGAGAGUCUGAACCAGCCAAGUCGCGUGAAGGAUGACUGCCCUAUGGAUUGUAAACUUCUUUUAUAGGGGAAUAAAAGAGGGUAUGCAUACCGUUCCGAAUGUACCAGAUGAAUAAGCAUCGGCUAACUCCGUGCCAGCAGCCGCGGUAAUACGGAGGAUCCGAGCGUUAUCCGGAUUUAUUGGGUUUAAAGGGAGCGUAGGUGGGUUGUUAAGUCAGUUGUGAAAGUUUGCGGCUCAACCGUAAAAUUGCAGUUGAUACUGGCAGUCUUGAGUACAGUUGAGGUAGGCGGAAUUCGUGGUGUAGCGGUGAAAUGCUUAGAUAUCACGAAGAACCCCGAUUGCGAAGGCAGCUCACUAAACUGCAACUGACACUGAUGCUCGAAAGUGUGGGUAUCAAACAGGAUUAGAUACCCUUGUAGUC
RNAcentral lists this ribosomal RNA (460 nucleotides) under uncultured bacterium. Its description in RNAcentral is "partial 16S ribosomal RNA". It matches the Rfam family "Bacterial small subunit ribosomal RNA", at positions 338 to 795 of the family's 1533-position model. The record is from RNAcentral.